Long non-coding RNA from Osmia lignaria (orchard mason bee), 4693 nucleotides. RefSeq lists it as uncharacterized. The record is from RefSeq and is a predicted model, not a curated record. NCBI's taxonomy places the organism in Eukaryota, Metazoa, Arthropoda, Insecta, Hymenoptera, Megachilidae.
CCACCUGUCGAACAAUGCGUGAACGGUUAUCGUGAUUAGCAGGUCAAUUGGCAACAACGCUGCUACAAGAAGGAGGGUCAAUGGGUUAGGAACGCAGGAAAAAACAGCUAUCCCAGUUUCAUUUGUCUGACAAGCCAACUGGUGUAACUGUUCCAUUGAUUUGCCCGGGUCAUCUUUGCUUCUUUAAAUGGAAGAAUCCUUUGUUCAGGAUAAUAUAAUGGCUUACAAAGCUUUUCUACAGAAUCUAUUGUUUCAGGUAAAGCUGAGAAGUAAAAUUGUGCUCCUCUGUUUUAAUUAUGAAUUGUGGAUGCAGACAGUUGAAAGGUUACGUACAAUUCAGUUGGAGAAAGCAUUUAUAAGUCUACGGAGGAGGGGUUUCAUCGCUUGGAGUGCUGAUUUCUAUUGAAGCAAUCUUCAAAGAGAUUUCCAACCACCUGUUGCCCGACCAGACGUAUCAAAAGCAUCCAAUCAACAGAAGCACGUUAAAAAGAGGCCACUCAAAUUAAUCUAUCAGCUGAGAACCUGAAGAAUUAACAUGACUGAAGCCAGAUUCAACCAUAUACGAGUUUGGGAAUGCAAUUGAACAGCAUUGAUAUUCAUCGACCCCUAAUUAUAUUACGUCGACCACUUUGAUGAUCCCUGGGGUCUAGACAAACAACAGUCUCUCUGAACGCGUCACAAACAAUUCCAUGAAAUACAGAGCUACUAAAGAGUCAAGAAAACUCCUGUCUCUCACGUUGCAGGCAUUUCAGAAGAUUCUGCACCGCGUCCAACUGAAUAACUGUCCAAAAACACGAGCGUUGGAGGGUCCAACAAACCCAGCCAUGUACUUCAUUCAGCUAACGAGCCUGCGGUCCAAGAAUGCCGGCAAAAAAUACGUGCCAACAUUCCAAAAUAGUUUUCUCGUACUAUGUAGUAUUCCAGUGUACAGGCAAAUAUAUUCCUCGCCGAGUUAAUUUUACGUGGCGGUCUUCGAAAUAGCGACGCAGCGUUAUAUAAAUGGCUCGCCGCUCUCUGGCUAGUACUCGCAGUUUGACCAGAAAUUAAUGAAAAUCGAGCUGGCCAACACGUUUCUGUUAUUAGCAGAAGAUUUUACCAAGGCUUCUUCUGCCAUUGGUUAAUGCCACCCUUAAAAGUCACCCUUAGUUCACAGGAAGCUAUUAAAAAGCGACGAAUGACUAAUCAUCCAUAGGACAUCACCAGUAAAUAACAACAGUACUUUCUAUUCACACUGAACAAUUAAAUAGCAAUUAGUGGAUAAACAACUGUGUCACCUUAGGACAAUGAAAGCGGAGCAGCAAAAACCAGUAAUUCUUUAGAAAGAAACUUGCCCAGGCGUGAAAGCCUCAUCGUCACCAGCUGCCUUCAAAGCGAAACUUCAACUUCACUCGAUUCACUGAAGCUCACCAGUCACUCAGAGAUUCGAUCCCGUCGUCCAGCAACAUUUUGCUUCUCUGAUAGGUUUACCGAACGAAUUUCAAACGCGUCUCGAUGGGACCACUCAUCCCGGAGGGAUCGCCGCUAUGGAAACGAACGGAGGCGAAAAGCACGAAGGUUGCGAAUAACCGGUGGAAAAGCUGAGCUCAAAGUCAAAGACUGGACUAACGAACACGCUAAAGUUAGCCGAGACGUGUAUCGAAAAUAGUUCGAAACACGGAGGUGGAGGUCAUUACGUUAUCCCACCUCGGCUUCUAUGUCUCUCCCUCCACUUUGCUAGGUGCUAAGAAGCGGAUUGACUCGGUCCCACUUGCAUCCUGCUCGUUACAUUUCAUCUAUACAUGAGUACAGAGUACACUGAAUCAUCCAAACGAAAACAAUCUGUCAAAUCAUUUCUCUUAACGCCAGAUGCAGAUCCAAAUACAGCUGCAAAUGGAAUGUGUUCCUUUCCUGAGAGAGAUUUUCCGAUGAAUGGAUUUCACUGAUUCUAGCUGUAGUUCAAACUGUGUUACUAGGUGAACAGGACUGUCCUCUAACGUUUCAUGUCCAUACGUGAUACAGGAACACCACCUCCGCGAUUAGGUCGAGGACGUUGGACUGGUGUCCUACACAGGUUCUUUCCUAUCUCUACAUCUACCUUAAUGUUCAACUAAUGGAUUGGAAAUGAAAUUUUAAAUUUAGGAGGAGAAUUGUAGCAACGUUCCUUUGAUAGUUUUCAAGAGUCAACUUCUGCCACUUUUCAUUACUUCCAAGAAAGAAGACCUCUGUCUCAUCAGGUGUCUCUUAUAAAAUACACAGUCAUCUAUGAAGCUUUGGAAUCAGAAUGAUCAAGAUGAAAACACCUUAGAAAUGUUUCUAACAAAAUUGGAAAGGUAAAAAGGAAAAGACAGAUUCUCUGUCGGUAUUGUCAAAUUCGCCAAGUGGUGGGUGAAAAGUGAACCUUGCCAGUCCACGAAUUAGGAAGCUUAUCCUGUAGCUUAUAAUAAAUCUGCUCGUUCAUACGAGGAUCGCGAAAUACGUGAGUCACGCCGCUUUCGAAGGUGAUUUUGGCCUGCCUACACGCUGAACAAGCGUCGCAGGUAAAACCGCGUGAACAGUCAUCGCGACGUGGGUCGUCGUGGGCGUCUUUCCAACAGUACGCUACGAAACACCCUUCCCCACUUGGCUAUUGUCCUUAGAAGAUCAACCUGGCCUGACAAUCUCAUGAAAAGCUUCCUAUCUAUCAAUCAAAUGUUUUCAAUUAAUCCUUCAACGCUUAUAAAAUCGAUACACGUUACUUGUUCGCUUAACCAUUUUGAAUUUUGCCGCCAAGAAUUUAACACUAAAUUCCCGGACAAAUAGAUCCGUCAAAAUAGGUAUAGGAUUUUUGGAACUAGGGAAUUAGUAUUUCUAUACAUUUCAUGAUUCUAUUAAAAACCAACAUAUGUUUUUAAAAAAAUUAUUUAGAGUCAAAUUGGAUUACUCCGGUAAUCUAGUGUUAAAUAACGCGCAUGCGCCAAUAGGCUCAACAUCUACCGCGAUAGUGCGCGCAAUGGGUCAACUACAUUUUAUUAUUUCUCGUGAGAAAGGUAUCGAUAGUAUGUAAAUUAUUACAACAUGAAGCUGUAAAACAUUCCAGGUUAAUGGUGCGCACCAAGCUCGAGUGCGCAUGCGCAUGCGCAUAUACAAAUUCAUAACGAUCAGUGAAGAAUUUUUCAAAAUUUACAGCGAGGAAAGAAUAAUAAUUAAAGAAUCAAAAUUAAAUAAUAAAUAAAGAAUAAUUCAUCGUUGGAGUAAUAUUAUUCGUACUAGAAUUUAAUCAUAAGAUGCAUAUGUUCCUAGUGUAAAGGUUAGGACGACUAUCAGGAGGUAUGGACCAAGUGUCUAACGAUCGAACGAACAACGCGAGGAACGUGGCUGGAAAACGGGUCUUCGAUAUUUAAAAUUCACCACCGGCGCCUGUACACGAGAACUGGGACUCGGCUGGCUUACGUAACAGGCGAUUCGAACGAAUGUUUCGGAUGCCUAUUGUGUUCGUAACAUGAUCAGAGAACAGCAGCUGAGUCUUAUCAAUUGACGACUACCGGAGGAUCCCGCCCUGCGAGUUCUAUGACUCAUCAACUUCAGGAAACUCGUUAUCGCCAGACUAGGAAUUAAAAACGCAUUAUAAAAAGACCCUAGCGGUUCCAGGAAUUUUGAUUUCUAAUUACCAUAACACAAUCGCUUUACACGUUAACCUCAAAACUGAAUCUCUAAACCUAAUGGGAAAUUCUUAGCCCAAUGGGAGAAUGUAUUGUGCAAGGUAUCAAUUUUAUAGAGAACGAUGAUCGUUAAUAAUCGCGUCGUACCAGUUUUGGUCUUGACAUUCGUCCAAAGAUAAUCGUCGAAGACAAGAAACGUUUCGGGCACCGUUCCAAGAAUGGAAGGAUCGGAUACACGUUGCUUUCGUUGCUUCAAUCAUACAUAUAAAUUAGUAUCUCACUUUUCUUAGCAGUGCAAGUAGGAAACAGGUGUCUUUAGAACAUCGCGCGUUAAUUAUACUGUGAGAAGUUUCCACCUGGACCGAAGAGAAGGAGGUAAUGAAAGAAGCAGAAUUUGCAAACUGGAUUUCCUUCUCAGAUAAACGAAGAAAGGAAAACAGGAUUUCUGAAGUAGAUAAUGUUCGCCAUAGUGCUUUAUAUUCUUAAUGCAUUUUAUAGGUACAUUUUAUCAAAAAAAAAAAAUCUUAACAUGUAUACAGUAGAUACCUUUAGCAGAAAGCAGACCCAGAAGAUACUAACCCAGGAAACGCAUCGCAUUUUCCUUCCUUUAUCCAAGCAAGGAAUUAUCGAUCCACGGGCUAUCUACAGAUUAACCCUUUAACUGCGGGUGUGGUUUAUAAACCAGAUACUAAAAUUAUAGCCAGAGGCGGGUAUAUAAACAAAAUGUUCAUUUUUGAUAAUAUCAUAUAGCGACUGUGGCUUAUAUACCACUAAAAUAAAAAUAAAGGAAACUAAAGUGAACUAGAGCGAGAUUCGCCCUAGAGCCAACUCUUUUUUGGGCCAUUUCCGGUCAGAUCGAAAGUAGGAAAAAAAGAUUUUUUUUGGCCAUUCGUUGAGAUUUUGACUCACUAAAUACAAUGACGCAAGAAUAUUUUUGAUAACUCAUAAAAGUGACAGGGAGUCUAAAUGCUAUAGGCCCCUUAUCAAGAUUUUUAAUCUUAGAAACGGCUUGGCUAAUAAAAAAGAAAUCUUAAAAUAAAAUAUCACUUCAGUAAUAUAAUUUAAAAUUAGAGCGA